Molecule: ribosomal RNA, 427 nt
Filed under: uncultured eukaryote
Lineage: Eukaryota
Description: bacterial SSU rRNA
Rfam family: Eukaryotic small subunit ribosomal RNA
Source: RNAcentral
GGAUUGACGGACUGAAGGCUCUUUCUCGAUUCCGUGGAAAGUGGUGCAUGGCCGUUUUUGGUUGGUGGAUCGAUCCGUCUGGUUAAUUCCGUUAACGAACGAGACCUCGGCACUCCGAAUAGCGCGGCGGACGUCGCGGCCUCCGGGCCGUCUUCCGCACGAGCUUCUUAGAGGGACCGUCCCCCGCCGGGGAAGGAGGUGCGAGGCAACGACAGGUCUGUGAUGCCCUUAGAUGUUCUGGGCCGCACGCGCAUUACACUGACGCGUCCAACGGGUGACUCCCGACCCGAAGGGGCCGGGGAAUCCGCAAGGCGCGUCGUGAUGGGGAUUGAACGUUGCAAUUGUUGUUCACGAACGAGGAAUUCCUAGUAGGCGCGGGUCAUCAACCCGCGCCGAUUACGUCCCUGCCCUUUGUACACACCGCCCG